Molecule: ribosomal RNA, 492 nt
Filed under: uncultured bacterium
Lineage: Bacteria
Description: partial 16S ribosomal RNA
Rfam family: Bacterial small subunit ribosomal RNA
Source: RNAcentral
AGUGAACGCUGGCGGUAGGCCUAACACAUGCAAGUCGAACGGCAGCACAGUAAGAGCUUGCUCUUACGGGUGGCGAGUGGCGGACGGGUGAGGAAUACAUCGGAAUCUACUUUUUCGUGGGGGAUAACGUAGUGAAACUUACGCUGAUACCGCAUACGACCUACGGGUGAAAGCAGGGGAUCUUCGGACCUUGCGCGAUUGAAUGAGCCGAUGUCGGAUUAGCUAGUUGGCGGGGUAAAGGCCCACCAAGGCGACGAUCCGUAGCUGGUCUGAGAGGAUGAUCAGCCACACUGGAACUGAGACACGGUCCAGACUCCUACGGGAGGCAGCAGUGGGGAAUAUUGGACAAUGGGCGCAAGCCUGAUCCAGCCAUACCGCGUGGGUGAAGAAGGCCUUCGGGUUGUAAAGCCCUUUUGUUGGGAAAGAAAAGCAGCAGGUUAAUACCCCGCUGUUCUGACGGUACCCAAAGAAUAAGCACCGGCUAACUUCGUG